RNAcentral lists this unclassified non-coding RNA (158 nucleotides) under Pasteurellaceae bacterium 586/11. RNAcentral describes it as "contains 16S-23S intergenic spacer region". The stretch from base 1 to 127 matches the Rfam family "Bacterial small subunit ribosomal RNA", at positions 1407 to 1533 of the family's 1533-position model. Lineage: Bacteria; Pseudomonadati; Pseudomonadota; Gammaproteobacteria; Pasteurellales; Pasteurellaceae. The record is from RNAcentral.
GGAGUGGNUUGUACCAGAAGUAGAUAGCUUAACCUUCGGGAGGGCGUUUACCACGGUAUGAUUCAUGACUGGGGUGAAGUCGUAACAAGGUAACCGUAGGGGAACCUGCGGUUGGAUCACCUCCUUACCGAAAUGAGCGACAGCAAGUGUNCACACAG